GAUCAUGGCUCAGGAUGAACGCUAGCGACAGGCCUAACACAUGCAAGUCGAGGGGCAGCGAAGAGGUAGCAAUACCUUUGCCGGCGACCGGCGCACGGGUGAGUAACACGUAUGCAAUCCACCUGUAACAGGGGGAUAACCCGGAGAAAAUCCGGACUAAUACCCCAUAAUAUGGGCGCUCCGCAUGGAGAGCCCAUUAAAAGAGAGCAAUUUUGGUUACAGACGAGCAUGCGCU
This 235-nucleotide ribosomal RNA is filed under the name uncultured bacterium. RNAcentral describes it as "partial 16S ribosomal RNA". It matches the Rfam family "Bacterial small subunit ribosomal RNA", at positions 15 to 237 of the family's 1533-position model. The record is from RNAcentral.